AGAUUGAACGCUGGCGGCAGGCCUAACACAUGCAAGUCGAGCGGUAGAGAGGUGCUUGCAUCUCUUGAGAGCGGCGGACGGGUGAGUAAUGCCUAGGAAUCUGCCUAGUGGUGGGGGAUAACGUUCGGAAACGGACGCUAAUACCGCAUACGUCCUACGGGAGAAAGCGGGGGACCUUCGGGCCUCGCGCCAUUAGAUGAGCCUAGGUCGGAUUAGCUAGUUGGUGAGGUAAUGGCUCACCAAGGCGACGAUCCGUAACUGGUCUGAGAGGAUGAUCAGUCACACUGGAACUGAGACACGGUCCAGACUCCUACGGGAGCAGCAGGUGGGG
Molecule: ribosomal RNA, 331 nt
Filed under: uncultured soil bacterium
Lineage: Bacteria
Description: bacterial SSU rRNA
Rfam family: Bacterial small subunit ribosomal RNA
Source: RNAcentral